UUAAGCUACUGACAAACCAGCGUGGGCGUGCAUCCAUGGCCACUGCGGCACCUCUUGGGCAGGAUGUGGACCCAGCUGACCCAGAGGUACAGGCCUGUGUUGCCUUCGGCAUCAAGAGCUUCAACUUCCACAGCCAGACUCAUCAGCUCCACAACAUUACCAAGUUCCACUCUGUCCACAGAGAGGAGGUCGGUGCAGGUCAGUACGAUAUUGAUGUGGAGGUGAGAGGUUGCCAGUCCUCCUUCUGUUCUCCAGACAAUUCCAACACCCAGAUUUUCCGUUGUCAUUUUGUCAUUGUGACUGCUCCUUGGAAGAAGCAGUUGAUUCUGAUCAACAGCACCUGUACUCCAGUGUCUUAGAAUGGACAGGAACUACUGUCUAUGUGCAACUACACACAUAUGUGUAAAAAAAAAACACACUUAGCAUGUGUCAAUUGAAUCGUCAAACUAUGUAUGCAUUGUGUGAGGUUGUUGCUUAUAUCAGACAUGCACUAUUUGACCGAGAAAGCUAACAGACGCUAACAAACACCUUUUUAAUCAGAAUUUAACCUAACACUAAUUAUUUUCAUGUUCGAAAGAAUGGAGUUAUUUGUAAGAAUAAAAUCAAUGUGAUUACUGGAGUACUGAUUAGAUUGUUGUGUGGUUUUCUUAUAGAUUGUCUAAUCUACUGUUUAAUAUGUUGAUCGACUCUGGUGCCAGUGAAAUUGAAUUAGGGGCUCGAUUCGAUGUGUGGUAAACGCUGCAUAUGUCUGUUCAAUUGGAAAUUACCUUUAAAAGGUGACUGCAUGUCCUGAUUUUGCCUCCCUUUUAGAUUUGUGUCAUUAAUUAAAGGAUGCUAGCGGCCAUGACUGAACUCAAACGUAAAUUGGUUUUAGGGUGUGUGUGGGUUUGCAGGUGUUAAAGUUGGUUGAACUUUGAAAAGCCUAUCCCUGGGGCUAAUUAAGGACCAUCAAGAAAUUAUACAAUGUAAAUGAGACACUAUUUUCAUGUUGCACACCUUUUAGUUCUCAUUAAAUGCUUUCACCUAAUCAUUCAAUGGGUUUUCUUUAAUUCUACAUUGUAGAAUAAUCGUGAAGACAAACUAUGAAAUAACACAUGGAAUCAUGUAGUAACCAAAAAAGUGUUAAACAAAUCAAAAUAUAUUUUAGAUUCUUCAAAGUAGCCACCCUUUGCCUUGAUGACAGCUUUGCACAAGCUUUGCAUUCUCUCAAC
Oncorhynchus tshawytscha (Chinook salmon) is the source of this 1211-nucleotide long non-coding RNA. NCBI's taxonomy places the organism in Eukaryota, Metazoa, Chordata, Actinopteri, Salmoniformes, Salmonidae. The record is from Ensembl.